RNAcentral lists this long non-coding RNA (2002 nucleotides) under Homo sapiens (human). Its description in RNAcentral is "HSALNT0120036". Lineage: Eukaryota; Metazoa; Chordata; Mammalia; Primates; Hominidae. The record is from RNAcentral.
UUUGAUAAGGGGAGUCUUUCUUCCCUAAUCUGCUUUUUGGAUUUGCUCAUUUGUCUAGCCACAUAUAUAGUACGUGUACGUGGUGGCAAAGUGCUUGGGCACUGCAAUCAGUCUCCUGGGUUUGCACCCCAGCUCCGCCACUUGACAUGUAGGCUGGGGGAAGCCACAUCACUUUUAUGUGCUUUGGUUUUCUCACCUGGAAAAUGAGGAUAAUCAUAUGCUCUCUUGUUAGUGUUAUCAUGGGGUGAAGAUGAGGCAAUGCCAAGUAUAGUGCCGCGUACAGAGCCUGGAGCAAGGUAAGCACCCAAGAAUGCGAACUGCUACUAUUGUGGUCAUGAUUUUCUAGCUUGUAGCAGAACUACUACUUAUUUAGAUCAUGGCAUCUAAAAAUACAUUUCCUCAAAUAUCAAAAGAGCCAGGACCAGAAUCUUGGCCUCUGGCCUCAAAGAUAAUGCCUUUUCCCGGCAUUUCCCCUGGACAGGCUGGGAAACAUCGCACCACAAAAUCUACACUCUUUCAAUCCUAUCAGCUGGUGUGUUCAUCUCAUUCUGAGAAUCAGGCUGAAGGAACAACCUCUAUCUGGAACAUGCUUUACAUAUCAGAAGGAGAAGAAAGAAAGCAGGGAAAGAAAACAGGCAUCAUGAUGGCAACUAAAGGGUGAUGAGCUUGUUUCCCACUUCACUGGAAAACAAAAUGGGAAUAUUCAGAAGAUAAGUUCCACAGCUCCCAUAGCAUCUUCCUAUCUACCAGGAUUUGGACCUUCUACACCCUGCUCCCAUUAAGGAAUUAGCCUUGCUCUUGUCCAAAACUAGCCUUUGCGUAUGCCUUAGAUCCUAUCCCCCUUGCUUGCUCACAGGCUUUGCUCCAGCAAUUCUCCCUAUUUUUCCCCUAUACCAUCAGCUUCCUCUCUCUACUAGGUCAUUUCCACCAGCACACAACAAUACUGUCUCUCUCAUCUUAGAAAUGGAAACUAACAAAAUUGAGUUCACUUUUCCUUCUGACACUAUCCCUUUUCUACCUCCCCCACUUUACAGCAAAACUCUUUGAAAGCUGCCUGAAUUUCACUGCUUCCAUUUCCUCUCCUCUUCUCACUUAAACCUACUGCUGCCAGAACCGGGACUCCACCACCUCACCAGACCCCUGCUUGUCAAUAUCAUCAAUGACUUCCAUCUUGCUAAAUCCAUUUCUUGUCCCCAUUGAACUUGACCCUCAGUAACACCUUGUCAAAUUAACCACUCCCUUCUCAUGGAAAUGAUUUCUUGUUUUCUAAGACACUACACAUUUCGUUUUCCUUCAACACCCCUGGAUGCUGCUUCCCAGUCUUGUCCCUUAACCUCCUAGCACUGAAGUGAUGCAGGGCUCAGUCCACAGAUCUCUUCAUCUUUCCUGUUCACUCCAUACUCACCCUCUUGGUAAUUCCCUUCCAGUUUCAUCGUUUAAAUGGCAUCUGUCUGCAAAUGAUUAUCAAAUGUAUGCCUCCAGCCAUGGCCACUGCUCUCAACGUUAGCUUAUCCAUCUAACUGUCAACUCUGUAUCUCUACCUGGACGCCUGAUGGAGGUCUCCAAUGUACCAUGCCCUAAACUGAAAUUUUGAUCUUCUUUAUCCACAGAAUCUGCUCGACCCUAUCUCAGUUAAAGGUAUCUAUGCCCUGGUCUAGAAGGCCUUCAGUAAUUAGAAAGCAUGUAUUUUGUGUGUAUGCCUUGAUAAGUGUUGACUGUAGCUAUAGCAAGGGAUAAUUCAUCAUCAGGAAAUGGUCAGGAGAGUGUCUCCAAAUCUUUUAAGCAUGCGCUAACCUUCAUAUAUAGGGUCCUUGUAUUACCUUUUCUCAAGUUGUACUAUAAUGUCCCGACCUUCAAAAGACCUUAUCCUUGUACAUUUGAGGACUCUUAUCUUUCCUAAUUAAAGUCAGAUGGUUGUCUUGUGGGUUUUCUUCUUCCUUUCUCUUUUGUGAGCUGCCUCUUAACAGCUGUGGUGUGUUGCUAGUGAAUUAUCAGUGGACAG